UACAGAGGAUGCAAGCGUUAUCCGGAAUGAUUGGGCGUAAAGCGUCUGUAGGUGGCUUUUUAAGUCCGCCGUCAAAUCCCAGGGCUCAACUCUGGACAGGCGGUGGAAACUACCAAGCUGGAGUACGGUAGGGGCAUGUGGAACUUCCGGUGGAGCGGUGAAAUGCGUAGAUAUCGGAAGGAACGCCGGUGGCGAAAGCGACGUGCUGGACCUCUUCUGACGCUGAGGCGCGAAAGCCAGGGGAGCGAACGGG
Molecule: ribosomal RNA, 253 nt
Filed under: uncultured bacterium
Lineage: Bacteria
Description: partial 16S ribosomal RNA
Rfam family: Bacterial small subunit ribosomal RNA
Source: RNAcentral